GCCCUAGUGGUGUAAGGGCAUCAGCAUGCGUCCCCGGUAUGGAUGAAACGUGGGUUCCACUCCCGCCUGAGGCC
Non-coding RNA from Parelaphostrongylus tenuis, 74 nucleotides. Lineage: Eukaryota; Metazoa; Nematoda; Chromadorea; Rhabditida; Metastrongylidae. The record is from the annotation of a GenBank genome assembly.